Molecule: ribosomal RNA, 497 nt
Filed under: uncultured bacterium
Lineage: Bacteria
Description: partial 16S ribosomal RNA
Rfam family: Bacterial small subunit ribosomal RNA
Source: RNAcentral
GAUGAACGCUGGCGGCGUGCCUAAUACAUGCAAGUCGAGCGAACGGACGAGAAGCUUGCUUUUCUGAUGUUAGCGGCGGACGGGUGAGUAACACGUGGAUAACCUACCUAUAAGACUGGGAUAACUUCGGGAAACCGGAGCUAAUACCGGAUAAUAUUUUGAACCGCAUGGUUCAAAAGUGAAAGACGGUCUUGCUGUCACUUAUAGAUGGAUCCGCGCUGCAUUAGCUAGUUGGUAAGGUAACGGCUUACCAAGGCAACGAUGCAUAGCCGACCUGAGAGAGUGAUCGGCCACACGGGAGCUGAGACACGGUCCAGACUACUACGGGAGGCAGCAGUAGGGAAUCUUCCGCAAUAGGCGAAAGCCUGACAGAGCAACGGCGCGUGAGUGAUGAAGAUCUUCGGAUCGUAAAACUCUGUUAUUAGGGAAGAACAUAUGUGUAAGUAACUGUGCACAUCUUGACGGUACCUAAUCAGAAAGCCACGGCUAACUACGUG